GCCCGGAUGGCGAAACAGGUAGACGCAAGAGACUUAAAAUCUCUCGGCCGCAAGGCUGUGCGGGUUCGAGUCCCGCUCCGGGCACCA
Molecule: transfer RNA, 87 nt
Filed under: Dyella nitratireducens
Lineage: Bacteria; Pseudomonadati; Pseudomonadota; Gammaproteobacteria; Lysobacterales; Rhodanobacteraceae
Description: tRNA-Leu
Rfam family: tRNA
About the family: Transfer RNA (tRNA) molecules are approximately 80 nucleotides in length.
Source: RNAcentral